RNAcentral lists this ribosomal RNA (469 nucleotides) under uncultured Anoxybacillus sp. RNAcentral describes it as "bacterial SSU rRNA". It matches the Rfam family "Bacterial small subunit ribosomal RNA", at positions 910 to 1382 of the family's 1533-position model. The record is from RNAcentral. Lineage: Bacteria; Bacillati; Bacillota; Bacilli; Caryophanales; Anoxybacillaceae.
UUGACGGGGGCCCGCACAAGCAGUGGAGUAUGUGGUUUAAUUCGAAGCAACGCGAAGAACCUUACCAGGGCUUGACAUCCCUUGAAGCAGCUAGAGAUAGCUGUGUCCUUCGGGACAAGGAGACAGGUGGUGCAUGGUUGUCGUCAGCUCGUGUCGUGAGAUGUUGGGUUAAGUCCCGCAACGAGCGCAACCCUCGACCUUAGUUGCCAGCAUUCAGUUGGGCACUCUAAGGUGACUGCCGGCUAAAAGUCGGAGGAAGGUGGGGAUGACGUCAAAUCAUCAUGCCCCUUAUGACCUGGGCUACACACGUGCUACAAUGGGCGGUACAAAGGGUCGCGAACCCGCGAGGGGGAGCCAAUCCCAAAAAGCCGCUCUCAGUUCGGAUUGCAGGCUGCAACUCGCCUGCAUGAAGCCGGAAUCGCUAGUAAUCGCGGAUCAGCAUGCCGCGGUGAAUACGUUCCCGGGCCUU